UAUAUUAAAGUUGUUGCAGUUAAAAAGGCUCGUAGUUGGAUUUCUGGAUCGAGCUCUCUGUCCGCCGCUGUGCGGUGCGUACUUGAGUAGUCUCGUUUCAUCCUUGCAGGGAAGCGUGUUCGACAUUAAUUUGUCGACACGGGGAACUGCAUCUUUUACUGUGAAAAAAUUAGAGUGUUUAAAGCAGGCAUUUUGCUGUGAAUACAUUAGCAUGGAAUAAUAACAUAGGACCCUGGUUCUAUUUUGUUGGUUGGAGGCCAAGGUAAUGAUUAAUAGGGACAGUUGGGGGUAUUCAUAUUUAAUUGUCAGAGGUGAAAUUCUUGGAUUUAUGAAAGAUGAACUCAUGCGAAAGCAUUUACCAAGGAUGUUUUCAUUAAUCAAGAACGAAAGUUAGGGGAUCGAAGAGGAUUAGAUACCCUCGUAGUCUUAACCAUAAACUAUGCCGACUAGGGAUUGGCGGACGUACUUUUUAUGGCUCCGUCAGCACCUUACGAGAAAUCAAAGUCUUUGGGUUCCGGGGGGAGUAUGGUCGCAAGGCUGAAACU
RNAcentral lists this ribosomal RNA (545 nucleotides) under uncultured marine eukaryote. RNAcentral describes it as "SSU rRNA". It matches the Rfam family "Eukaryotic small subunit ribosomal RNA", at positions 600 to 1144 of the family's 1831-position model. The record is from RNAcentral. RNAcentral also lists the same sequence under 1 other name.